CUGUCCUGGUUUGCUGAAGCUGUGACAGAGGCACUAGAGAUGACAUGAAGAAAGCAUCGCGAGGGCACAACCACAAGGCAAACCAUCCUUUUUGGAAGCAAGAUGUUAGAGCAGACAAGAGCACACAGAAAUUCCACAUUCUGAUUUGGGAGCUGAACUUCUUCACUGCCCAGCAGUUCUCCUCCCAGGAAAAUUUGGGAGAGCUUCAACUGCUCUCAGGGUUGCAAGUUUCCUUCCAGCACGAGGAACAAAGGUAAGUUCAUAUUCUCUACUUUUGUCAACAUCUCAUUUACUUAUGACACUUCAUGAUUAGAACAAGUGGGUUUUCAAUUAGAAAAAGUUCUCCCCAAA
This is a non-coding RNA of Taeniopygia guttata (zebra finch), 351 nucleotides long. Lineage: Eukaryota; Metazoa; Chordata; Aves; Passeriformes; Estrildidae. The record is from RefSeq and is a predicted model, not a curated record.